AACGAACGCUGGCGGCAGGCUUAACACAUGCAAGUUGAACGGGAUUUAUUGGUAGCUUGCUAUUGAUAAUGAGAGUGGCGCACGGGUGAGUAAUACGUGGGAACAUACCUAUUGGUUCGGAACAACUGAUGGAAACGUCAGCUAAUACCGGAUAAGCCCUGAGGGGGAAAGAUAUAUCGCCGAUAGAAUGGCCCGCGGCAGAUUAGGCAGUUGGUGGGGUAAAGGCCUACCAAACCUACGAUCUGUAGCUGGUCUGAGAGGACGAUCAGCCACAUUGGGACUGAGACACGGCCCAGACUCC
Molecule: ribosomal RNA, 301 nt
Filed under: Alphaproteobacteria bacterium
Lineage: Bacteria; Pseudomonadati; Pseudomonadota; Alphaproteobacteria
Description: bacterial SSU rRNA
Rfam family: Bacterial small subunit ribosomal RNA
Source: RNAcentral